GGAGAGGUGCGAGAGCGGCCGAAUCGGAACGCUUGGAAAGCGUUUGUGGCGGUAACGUCACCGUGGGUUCGAAUCCCACCCUCUCCGCCA
Molecule: transfer RNA, 90 nt
Filed under: Actinomycetes bacterium
Lineage: Bacteria; Bacillati; Actinomycetota; Actinomycetes
Also listed under: 2 other names
Description: tRNA-Ser
Rfam family: tRNA
About the family: Transfer RNA (tRNA) molecules are approximately 80 nucleotides in length. Their secondary structure includes four short double-helical elements and three loops (D, anti-codon, and T loops).
Source: RNAcentral